UCCCUGGUGGCUCAGAUGGUAAAGCGUCUGCCUGCAAUGCGGGAGACCCAGGUUCGAUCCCUGGGUGGGGAA
Molecule: non-coding RNA, 72 nt
Organism: Bos taurus (domestic cattle)
Lineage: Eukaryota; Metazoa; Chordata; Mammalia; Artiodactyla; Bovidae
Source: Rfam